GCAACAGCUCAAAUUUGAAAUCUGGCGCAAGCCCGAGUUGUAAUUUGCAGAGGAUGUUUCGGGUGAAGCCACGGUCCAAGUCCCUUGGAACAGGACGUCAUAGAGGGUGAGAACCCCGUACCUGGCCGUCGGUGCCCCCCGCUGUGAAACUCCUUCGACGAGUCGAGUUGUUUGGGAAUGCAGCUCUAAAUUGGUGGUAAAUUCCAUCUAAAGCUAAAUACCGGCCAGAGACCGAUAGCGCACAAGUAGAGUGAUCGAAAGAUGAAAAGCACUUUGAAAAGAGAGUUAAAAAGUACGUGAAAUUGUUGAAAGGGAAGCGCUUGCGGCCAGACUUGCCCGCGGUUGCUCAGCCCGCCCUUUGGCGGGUGCACUCUUCCGCGGUCAGGCCAGCAUCGGUUUGGGCGGCCGGAUAAAGGCGUUGGGAACGUAGCCUCCCCUCGGGGAGGUGUUAUAGCCCGGCGCGCAAUGCGACCAGCCCGGACCGAGGUUCGCGCUCUGCUAGGAUGCUGGCGUAAUGGCCGUAAGCGGCCCGUCUUGAAACACGGACCAAGGAGUCUAACAUCUAUGCGAGUGUUUGGGUGUCAAACCCGUGCGCGUAAUGAAAGUGAACGGAGGUGGGAACCGCAAGGUGCACCAUCGACCGAUCCUGAUGUCUUCGGAAGGAUUUGAGUAAGAGCAUAGCUGUUGGGACCCGAAAGAUGGUGAACUAUGCGUGAAUAGGGUGAAGCCAGAGGAAACUCUGGUGGAGCUCGCAGCGGUUCUGACGUGCAAAUCGAUCGUCAA
Molecule: ribosomal RNA, 783 nt
Filed under: Venturia oleaginea
Lineage: Eukaryota; Fungi; Ascomycota; Dothideomycetes; Venturiales; Venturiaceae
Description: partial large subunit ribosomal RNA
Rfam family: Eukaryotic large subunit ribosomal RNA
Source: RNAcentral